GUUGACACGAUCAUUAAAGAGUUGUGAUGACUUCGCGUGCAUCUCGAAAGGGAUGGGGAUUGAAUCUAAAAGUUAGAUUAUCAAGGCCGUAAAAAGUAAAAAAAAAGUUUAUAAUGAGAAAAAAAAAAAAAAAAUGCGUUGUCAAUUUUCUCGACUUUUUUUUUUUGAAAAAAUAAUGUGUAGGCACGUGCCUAUAGUGCCUAACGGCAG
This 210-nucleotide long non-coding RNA is filed under the name Mytilus galloprovincialis (Mediterranean mussel). The record is from RNAcentral. Lineage: Eukaryota; Metazoa; Mollusca; Bivalvia; Mytilida; Mytilidae.